AUAAAUUAAUAAUAAUUAUUAUAACUCAAAUAAAAAUUAAGUUUACAAUUUAAUUUAAAAUCUUUUAAUAAAAUAAAAUUAAAAAUUCUCUUUUUAAAAUAAAAAAAUUUGCUAAAAAUCAAUGCAGAAAAAUAUUUAAAUAUUCAACUAUGUAAAUACACUUGAAAAAAUAUAUUCCUUUAAAUAAUUUUCCAUGUUGAUUAAAUCUAUAUAUAAAAUAAAUGACUUUAAUUAUAUAAAUCAUUUAUAAA
Molecule: small RNA, 251 nt
Filed under: Gynaikothrips ficorum
Lineage: Eukaryota; Metazoa; Arthropoda; Insecta; Thysanoptera; Phlaeothripidae
Source: RNAcentral